CCUACGGGGGGCAGCAGUGGGGAAUAUUGGACAAUGGGGGGAACCCUGAUCCAGCCAUGCCGCGUGUGUGAAGAAGGCCCUCGGGUUGUAAAGCACUUUCAGUGAGGAAGAACGCCUGGUGGUUAAUACCCAUCAGGAAAGACAUCACUCACAGAAGAAGCACCGGCUAAUUCCGUGCCAGCAGCCGCGGUAAUACGGAGGGUGCGAGCGUUAAUCGGAAUUACUGGGCGUAAAGCGCGCGUAGGUGGCUUGAUAAGCCGGUUGUGAAAGCCCCGGGCUCAACCUGGGAACGGCAUCCGGAACUGUCAAGCUAGAGUGCAGGAGAGGAAGGUAGAAUUCCCGGUGUAGCGGUGAAAUGCGUAGAGAUCGGGAGGAAUACCAGUGGCGAAGGCGGCCUUCUGGACUGACACUGACACUGAGGUGCGAAAGCGUGGGUAGCAAACAGGAUUAGAUACCCCUGUAGUC
RNAcentral lists this ribosomal RNA (465 nucleotides) under Vreelandella stevensii. RNAcentral describes it as "partial 16S ribosomal RNA". It matches the Rfam family "Bacterial small subunit ribosomal RNA", at positions 338 to 795 of the family's 1533-position model. Lineage: Bacteria; Pseudomonadati; Pseudomonadota; Gammaproteobacteria; Oceanospirillales; Halomonadaceae. The record is from RNAcentral.